This 69-nucleotide transfer RNA is filed under the name Marmota monax (woodchuck). RNAcentral's name for it is "tRNA.Ala". The record is from RNAcentral. Lineage: Eukaryota; Metazoa; Chordata; Mammalia; Rodentia; Sciuridae.
GAGGAUAUAGCUAGUCGGUAGUGUUUGCCUUGCAGGCACAAGGCCCUGGGUUCAAUCCCCAGCACCACA